Sebastes umbrosus (honeycomb rockfish) is the source of this 574-nucleotide non-coding RNA. Lineage: Eukaryota; Metazoa; Chordata; Actinopteri; Perciformes; Sebastidae. The record is from the annotation of a RefSeq genome assembly.
UACUCUGGCACCAUGGUCAGGCCCUCAGUCUCUCUGCUUCCCCCCUCCUCUGAGCAGCUCUCUGGGGGCUCGGCCACGCUGGCCUGCCUGCUGACCGGCUACUCUCCUCAGGGAGCCGUGGUGAGCUGGCAGGUGGACGGUACGGAGGUGACGGAGGGGGUCCUGAGCAGCUCAGAGGAGGAGAAGAGCGGCCGCUACAGCAGCAGCAGCACCCUGAGCCUGAGCCAGGAGCGCUGGAUGGAAGGAGAGCUGUACUCCUGCAGGGUCCUCCAUCAGGGCCACAGCCAGACCCAGUCCCUCCACAGGAGCCAGUGUAAGGGCUAGAGGGGCCGGCUGAAGCCCAGGACAGAAGCUCUGUGUGGGGGGGAGCAGCUCUGAUCAAUAGCAGUUUGAAUGCUUGUAGAGGAAACUGAAGCUUUGUGUGACAGAGAACAACACUGCUGUAAAGUGUUGGACAACAACAACUUAGAGAGGAAUGUGUGUCGCUCAGCAGCUUCAUGUGAGUGAGCUUAAUAACUGUCAUGUUGAUCACUGAUGUUGUUGCUAAUAAAGAUUUCACUGAUACAUAACUUCA